This 497-nucleotide ribosomal RNA is filed under the name uncultured bacterium. Its description in RNAcentral is "partial 16S ribosomal RNA". It matches the Rfam family "Bacterial small subunit ribosomal RNA", at positions 28 to 507 of the family's 1533-position model. The record is from RNAcentral.
GAUGAACGCUGGCGGCGUGCCUAAUACAUGCAAGUCGAGCGAACAGACGAGGAGCUUGCUCCUCUGACGUUAGCGGCGGACGGGUGAGUAACACGUGGAUAACCUACCUAUAAGACUGGUAUAACUUCGGGAAACCGGCGCUAAUACCGGAUAAUAUAUUGAACCGCAUGGUUCAAUAGUGAAAGACGGUUUUGCUGUCACUUAUAGCUGGAUCCGCGCCGCUUUAGCUAGUUGGUAAGGUAACGGCUUACCAAGGCAACGAUGCGUAGCCGACCUGAGAGGCGGAUCGGCCACACGGGAGCUGAACCAGCGUCCAGACUCCUACGGGAGGCAGCAGUAGGGAAUCUUCGGCAAUGGGCGAAAGCCUGACGGAGCAACGCCGAGUGAGUGAUGAAGGUCUCGGGUUCGUAAAAAUCUGUUAUGAGGGAAGAACAAAUGUGGAAGUAACCAUGCACGUCUUGACGGUACCUAAUCAGAAAGCCACGGCUAACUACGUG